CUAUGCCUAGCCCUAAAUCUUGAUACUUCCCCCACCAAAGUAUUCGCCCGAGAACUACGAGCACAAACGCUUAAAACUCUAAGGACUUGGCGGUGCCCCAAACCCACCUAGAGGAGCCUGUUCUGUAAUCGAUAACCCACGAUACACCCGACCACUCCUUGCCAAAGCAGCCUACAUACCGCCGUCGCCAGUUCACCUUCCCUGAGAGAGCAACAGUGAACAUAAUAGCCCUACCCGCUAACAAGACAGGUCAAGGUAUAGCCUAUGGAGUGGAAGAAAUGGGCUACAUUUUCUAGAAUAGAAAACCACGGAAAGAGAUAUGAAAUCACCUCUGGAAGGCGGAUUUAGCAGUAAAGAAGGAUAAUAAAGCCACCUUUAAACUGGCCCUGGGACACGUACAUACCGCCCGUCACCCUCCUCAAAAGCUACAACUCCCAACAUACCUAAUUUCCUAGCUAGCUAAAGAUGAGGUAAGUCGUAACAAGGUAAGUGUACCGGAAGGUGUACUUAGCAUACCAA
RNAcentral lists this ribosomal RNA (519 nucleotides) under Apus unicolor. Its description in RNAcentral is "partial 12S ribosomal RNA". It matches the Rfam family "Bacterial small subunit ribosomal RNA", at positions 790 to 1533 of the family's 1533-position model. Lineage: Eukaryota; Metazoa; Chordata; Aves; Apodiformes; Apodidae. The record is from RNAcentral.